GACGAACGCUGGCGGCGUGCCUAACACAUGCAAGUCGAGCGAGGAAUGACAGGUAGCUUGCUACCGGUUAUUUCUAGCGGCGGACGGGUGAGUAACGCGUGAGCAACCUGCCUUUAUCAGGGGGAUAACGCAUCGAAAGAUGUGCUAAUACCGCGUAAGACCACAGCCUCACAUGGGGCAGGGGUCAAAGGAGGAAUCCCGGAUAAAGAUGGGCUCGCGUCCGAUUAGCUAGUUGGUGAGAUAACAGCCCACCAAGGCGACGAUCGGUAGCCGACCUGAGAGGGUGAUCGGCCACAUUGGAACUGAGAGACGGUCCAGACUCCUACGGGGAGGCAGCAGUGAGGAAUNUUGGUCAAUGGGCGCGAGCCUG
This 370-nucleotide ribosomal RNA is filed under the name uncultured bacterium. RNAcentral's name for it is "bacterial SSU rRNA". It matches the Rfam family "Bacterial small subunit ribosomal RNA", at positions 28 to 385 of the family's 1533-position model. The record is from RNAcentral.